UGGGGAAUAUUGCACAAUGGGCGGAAGCCUGAUGCAGCGACGCCGCGUGGGGGAUGAAGGCCUUCGGGUUGUAAACUCCUUUCGACAGGGACGAAGCUUUUGUGACGGUACCUGUAUAAGAAGCACCGGCUAACUACGUGCCAGCAGCCGCGGUAAUACGUAGGGUGCGAGCGUUGUCCGGAAUUACUGGGCGUAAAGAGCUCGUAGGUGGUUUGUCGCGUCGUCUGUGAAAUUCCGGGGCUUAACUCCGGGCGUGCAGGCGAUACGGGCUGACUUGAGUGCUGUAGGGGGGACUGGAAUUCCUGGUGUAGCGGUGAAAUUCGCAGAUAUCAGGAGGAACACCGAUGGCGAAGGCAGGUCUCUGGGCAGUAACUGACGCUGAGGAGCGAAAGCAUGGGUAGCGAACAGG
RNAcentral lists this ribosomal RNA (409 nucleotides) under Actinomycetes bacterium. Its description in RNAcentral is "Actinobacteria bacterium partial 16S ribosomal RNA". It matches the Rfam family "Bacterial small subunit ribosomal RNA", at positions 355 to 776 of the family's 1533-position model. Lineage: Bacteria; Bacillati; Actinomycetota; Actinomycetes. The record is from RNAcentral.